Molecule: ribosomal RNA, 406 nt
Filed under: uncultured bacterium
Lineage: Bacteria
Description: partial 16S ribosomal RNA
Rfam family: Bacterial small subunit ribosomal RNA
Source: RNAcentral
AUUGAACGCUGGCGGCAGGCCUAACACAUGCAAGUCGAACGAGUGGCGGACGGGUGCGUAAUGUCUGGGAAUCUGCCUGAUGGAGAGGGAUAACUACUGGAAACGGUUGCUACUACCGCAUACCAUCGGAUGUGCCGCGGUGGGAUUAGCUAGUAGUUGGGGUAACGGCUCACCUAGGCGACGAUCCCUAGCUGGUCUGAGAGGAUGACCAGCCACACUGGAACUGAGACACGGUCCAGACUCCUACGGGAGGCAGCAGUGGGGAAUAUUGCACAAUGGGCGCAAGCCUGAUGCAGCCAUGCCGCGUGUGUGAAGAAGGCCUUCGGGUUGUAAAGCACUUUAAGCGGGGAGGCGUUACCAGCAGAAGAAGCACCGGCUAACUCCGUGCCAGCAGCCGCGGUAAUAC